GGACGAUUAGCUCAGUUGGUAGAGCAACUGACUCUUAAUCAGUGGGUCCAGGGUUCGAGUCCCUGAUCGUCCACCA
RNAcentral lists this transfer RNA (76 nucleotides) under Clostridiales bacterium. Its description in RNAcentral is "tRNA-Lys". It matches the Rfam family "tRNA". Rfam says of the family: Transfer RNA (tRNA) molecules are approximately 80 nucleotides in length. Their secondary structure includes four short double-helical elements and three loops (D, anti-codon, and T loops). Further hydrogen bonds mediate the characteristic L-shaped molecular structure. tRNAs have two regions of fundamental functional importance: the anti-codon, which is responsible for specific mRNA codon recognition, and the 3' end, to which the tRNAs corresponding amino acid is attached (by aminoacyl-tRNA synthetases). tRNAs cope with the degeneracy of the genetic code in two manners: having more than one tRNA (with a specific anti-codon) for a particular amino acid; and 'wobble' base-pairing, i.e. permitting non-standard base-pairing at the 3rd anti-codon position. Lineage: Bacteria; Bacillati; Bacillota; Clostridia; Eubacteriales. RNAcentral also lists the same sequence under 2 other names. The record is from RNAcentral.